RNAcentral lists this unclassified non-coding RNA (200 nucleotides) under Lactarius sp. (in: basidiomycete fungi). RNAcentral describes it as "Lactarius sp. (in: Russulaceae) partial internal transcribed spacer 2". Lineage: Eukaryota; Fungi; Basidiomycota; Agaricomycetes; Russulales; Russulaceae. The record is from RNAcentral.
UUAAGUUCAGCGGGUAGUCUCACCCGAUUUGAGGUCAAGGGUUCGUGGGGGUCGAGGGAGCUUCCCGAGAAGGGAGACGUGCUCGAACGUUGUCUCGACGCAAGGUCCAGACGGUUAGAAGCGGGUCCCAAAAGUGACAGAGCCAGAAACCAAGACAUGGAAACAUCUUAUCACACGUCAAGGAUCGGCAAAGAGGACCC